UUUCCAUUGAAAUUAUCUUCCAUUCCAUUCAUAAUUGGAUUACGAAAUUCCUUCGUUAUCAGUCCUACAUUUUGUUUGAGUGAUCUCUUUCAUCUAUCGUCCGCAUCUGACAGUGUUUUUGUUCUUCUUCGACAUGUCUUGGAGGUGUUGUGUUUCUGGUUGUGGUUCCGAAGGAGUACCUUUAUUUCAUAUUCCAAAAUUUAAUGAAAGUUUAAAAACUGCUUUGCAAGAAAAAAAAAAGGAUCGUAGAAUUGUUUGGCUUCAAAAACUUAACGUGAAGGAAUGUGACUUAAACAACAACACUCGUGUUUGCUCUCGUCAUUUUGCAUCUGGUACGCCAUGUAAGAAUUCUUUCGAUAACUCUCACCCAGACUGGGCACCUUCACUACACAUCAGAAAUUCCAUUUUUGACAGGGUUGUACAGAGAAACAUUAGUCGACAUUCCAGAAGGCUUGAAAGGGAAUCAAGAACAUUGGAACAGAUCAUAAAUAGGGUAAAGGUAUUCAGCCCUGUGUAAAAUAACAGGCACUUUUUUUCAUCAACACUAAUUUCAGUAAACAACUGGCAUUUUCCUCUUUCAUUCACAUUAUUCACUUGUUGUUGAAGGGUUUUUUCAGAUGCAGUUAACUGCUCAUUCAUUCUACGUAAUUUCUCAUUUUCAACAAGUAGACAGUCCCUUUCCCUUGUCAUCAGUUCCAACAUUUUGUAGACUCCAGUAGCCUAAAAUGAAAUACAUUAUAUAAAAAUGAAAA
Long non-coding RNA from Daphnia magna, 752 nucleotides. RefSeq lists it as uncharacterized. The transcript is spliced from 3 exons. Lineage: Eukaryota; Metazoa; Arthropoda; Branchiopoda; Diplostraca; Daphniidae. The record is from RefSeq and is a predicted model, not a curated record.